GACUCGGAGUCGAGUCGGCAACUCAUGAACAGAUUCACUGCUUCUAUUUUGACUUUUACCCAAAAAAUGAACCAAAAAGGCCAAACAAAACAUUGAACAGAAACAAAAGGCUACACAAAGCCUGCAACAACUCAAUUAUUGUCAUACAAAUACAAAGCCUUGCACUAGCAAGAGCCGUCCUUCCUCUCAUGCUUUCUUUUUUUUUUUCAGCCACAAAUAAUCAAUUACUUGGAGAAGGUGUAGAAGCAGAGCAUAGAAUCAUUCAUUAUUUGGAGAAACACACCCGAAGACAGAAUCAUUAUUUAGAGAAACAUACCAUCAAUUUUCAUUGGUUUGCAGAGAGGGAACAUCUUCAAUUUCUUCACACUUCAUCGGUUUACAGAGAGGGAGGUUUGCAAAGAGGGAACAUCGAUUUUGCAGAGAGGGAAGAGAAAAAAGAGCCUAAGGGAAAGUGAAGACAAAGAACGAAAGGAGGUUUGCAGAAAGGGAACAUCUUCAAUUUCUUCAUCGGUUUACAGAGAGAAACAUCGAUUUGCAGAGAGGGAAGGAGGAAAAAAAAAAAGAAAGGGAAAGUGAAAAGAAAGAA
RNAcentral lists this long non-coding RNA (586 nucleotides) under Coffea arabica (coffee). Its description in RNAcentral is "long non-coding RNA (CARA_LNC006848)". The record is from RNAcentral. Lineage: Eukaryota; Viridiplantae; Streptophyta; Magnoliopsida; Gentianales; Rubiaceae.